UAGUUCAUUCUGAAAGGCUUAUUAUCAUUUGUAAUAUCACUUAACUUAGAGAGCCUACUUAGGGCUGUUACUGUAUCCACUAAAUGUUAACUGGAUUUAAUUUCUAUAAAUUCUUUAUGCAGAAGACCUGGUUAUCUUUCCAUAUAAAGGCAUAACGUUCAAAGAUGGUAUUCCCGUACCUAUGGGUUUUUCAUGAGAAUGAUUACAC
Molecule: long non-coding RNA, 208 nt
Filed under: Homo sapiens (human)
Lineage: Eukaryota; Metazoa; Chordata; Mammalia; Primates; Hominidae
Description: non-protein coding lnc-DNAAF1-6:1
Source: RNAcentral